Molecule: long non-coding RNA, 698 nt
Filed under: Cricetulus griseus (Chinese hamster)
Lineage: Eukaryota; Metazoa; Chordata; Mammalia; Rodentia; Cricetidae
Description: lncRNA (ENSCGRG00000025151.1)
Source: RNAcentral
GAAGGAAGAUGAUUUUGGAGAGACUGGGAGUUCAGUGAGGGAUACUGAGUCCCCAUUGGUCGACGUGUGAGAGCCAAAGAGGAGGAAUAAGGCCUGCAUCACUGUGGAUUCUCAAUGGGGAGGACUUGCUAACUGAUGGGACAGAUGGGUGGAGGCGGCAGGUUUCAGGGUUUCUCACUUGGCUGGCACAGAAGGGGGAAGGAGGGGUCAGCUAUCACUGUGGACAUGUUGUUUUGGUGAAGACACGACCAUGGGUCAUCUAACCAGAGAUGUCCAGCAGGCUGGCAGAAAUAUGGGCGUGGAAGUUGAAAGGGAGAAGUUGGAGGCAUAUUUUUCCUCUGACACAUUUUUGUCCAGCAUCCAUUCCUGAGGUUUGGCUCAGGCCGCUGUGGACUGGUGGGGGAAGUGCAGCUCCCAGAUUUUGGUUGUAUUUACAGAACCACAGCAGCAAAGCCACUGCCUUCCCCGUUGCUACACAGGAGAAUUUGUGCAGACUCGGGGGUCCCUGGGAAGAUGUCACACUAAGGACACAGCUCUGGGCUGGCACUGAGGUUCUGUCUACAGAUGGAUUAUGUGAACAUCCAGGCUUUACUUUGCUCGUGAGUCCAUUUGGGAAAGGUAAAAUCAGGAACAGUAACUUUGGGACAGCCUGUGUUGGUGAUGGUUUCAGCUUUGACCAAAAGCUACCUGGACUCUAA